GGAAUUGACGGGGCUCGCACAAGCGGUGGAGCAUGUGGUUAAUUCGAAGCAACGCGAAGAACCUUACCAGGUCUUGACAUCCCCUGACAACCCGAGAGAUCGGGCGUUCCCCUUCGGGGGACAGGGUGACAGGUGGUGCAUGGUUGCCGUCAGCUCGUGUCGUGAGAUGUUGGGUUAAGUCCCGCAACGAGCGCAACCCUCGACCUUAGUUGCCAGCAUUCAGUUGGGCACUCUAAGGUGACUGCCGGCUAAAAGUCGGAGGAAGGUGGGGAUGACGUCAAAUCAUCAUGCCCCUUAUGACCUGGGCUACACACGUGCUACAAUGGGCGGUACAAAGGGUCGCGAACCCGCGAGGGGGAGCCAAUCCCAAAAAGCCGCUCUCAGUUCGGAUUGCAGGCUGCAACUCGCCUGCAUGAAGCCGGAAUCGCUAGUAAUCGCGGAUCAGCAUGCCGCGGUGAAUACGUUCCCGGGCCUU
This 475-nucleotide ribosomal RNA is filed under the name uncultured Anoxybacillus sp. Its description in RNAcentral is "bacterial SSU rRNA". It matches the Rfam family "Bacterial small subunit ribosomal RNA", at positions 906 to 1382 of the family's 1533-position model. Lineage: Bacteria; Bacillati; Bacillota; Bacilli; Caryophanales; Anoxybacillaceae. The record is from RNAcentral.